Molecule: long non-coding RNA, 535 nt
Filed under: Homo sapiens (human)
Lineage: Eukaryota; Metazoa; Chordata; Mammalia; Primates; Hominidae
Description: HSALNT0078231
Source: RNAcentral
AAGAAUGAGUAGUAGAAAAACGGUAUGCUUGGCAAAUCUUUGACUUUCACACCCCCAUCACCCAUUUUUUGCCUUUAAACUGAUCAUUUGCUGGCAGCAGAUGGGUAAUAGGAUGAAAGUUUUCAAUAUGGUGUGGUGGGGAUGUAUGUUUCCAGACACAACAUCAAAGAGUACCAAGCAGAGUUCUUAAUGUGAUUAACAAAGAGGCAUGGAAUCUGCUAUCAAUCUUCCUUGUUACUGUCAUAGUACUUCCAGGACUGUUAAAGAAACUUUACAAUAGCUGAAUACAUGUUACACAUACAGACCAAGAAGUGCCCUGGGCAGUGUAGCAGAAUUUACAGCAAGUGCAUUUUUUGAAUUUCUGCUUCUGAGUCACUACUGUCAGUCUGACAUUUGUAUCUCAGAAGUCUUCCUACCUUAAUGUUGACAAGGCAAAUAAAGGCUAUGCCAUCAAUCUGUAACGAUAUUUGCUCCAUUUGAAAAUGUUAUCCUGAAAAGUAUAUUUCACUGUGAUUAACACUGUUACAAGAUAAAA